RNAcentral lists this ribosomal RNA (253 nucleotides) under uncultured bacterium. RNAcentral describes it as "partial 16S ribosomal RNA". It matches the Rfam family "Bacterial small subunit ribosomal RNA", at positions 524 to 776 of the family's 1533-position model. The record is from RNAcentral.
UACGUAGGUGGCAAGCGUUGUCCGGAUUUAUUGGGUUUAAAGGGUGCGUAGGCGGCCUUAUAAGUCAGUGCUGAAAUAUCCCGGCUUAACCGGGAGGGUGGCAUUGAUACUGUAGGGCUUGAGUAAAGUUGAGGUAGGCGGAAUUGACGGUGUAGCGGUGAAAUGCUUAGAUAUCGUCAAGAACACCGAUAGUGAAGACAGCUUACUAAACUUUAACUGACGCUGAGGCACGAAAGUGUGGGGAUCAAACGGG